This is a long non-coding RNA of Triticum aestivum (bread wheat), 489 nucleotides long. RefSeq lists it as uncharacterized. The transcript is spliced from 4 exons. Lineage: Eukaryota; Viridiplantae; Streptophyta; Magnoliopsida; Poales; Poaceae. The record is from RefSeq and is a predicted model, not a curated record.
CUUCUCUACCUCUUUGCUCUCUCUAAGUGCAUACACAGACAGAAAGGAAAACUUGGUAGCCACUUUUACUCGUGAUUUUGGUCGAUUUGGAGUUGGAUUUCGAAGAUGAUGAAGUUGAAGAAAAGAUAGAUUAAGGCAUAAUUUUAGCAUUUGAAGGAGUCAUUUGGAGUCAUUUAAAGCUUGAGGAGUAGGAUUUGCAUUGCGAAAGUGAACUACGAAGUUGAAGAUCAAGAUAAAAUAAUUCAUCUUAGUAGCAAACAAGGAGGAGAUGACGUGAUUGAAGAAAUUGUGUUUCUAUCUUCGCUGUCCCUUUUGAGGUUGACUCAGUUCAUAUAGUACUGGCGACGGAAAUUUAUUCGAACUAUUUGGACUCUUAAUUGCAUUCGCAAGCACAUCCAUAUUGAAGCUAAGGUAUAAAAUGACACCAUAAUUUUGUUAAUAUUUUUUAUAUUGAUGUACUAUUGUGAAUAAUGUGCAUGCCGCUGCAAA